ACUGCUCAGUAACACGUGGAUAACCUGCCCUAAGGAAGGGGAUAACCUCGGGAAACUGAGGAUAAUACCCUAUAGGUUACAGACGCUGGAAUGCCCUGUAACCGAAAGUUCCGGCGCCUUAGGAUGGAUCUGCGGCCGAUUAGGUUGUUGUUGGGGUAACGGCCCAACAAGCCGAUAAUCGGUACGGGUUGUGGGAGCAAGAGCCCGGAGUUGGAUUCUGAGACAUGAAUCCAGGCCCUACGGGGCGCAGCAGGCGCGAAAACUUUACAAUGCGGGAAACCGUGAUAAGGGAACCCCGAGUGCCUGUAUAUGCAGGCUGUCCAGAUGUCUAAAAAACACCUGAAGAAAGGGCCGGGCAAGACCGGUGCCAGCCGCCGCGGUAAUACCGGCGGCUCGAGUGGUGGCCACUUUUAUUGGGCUUAAAGCGUUCGUAGCUGGGUUGUUAAGUCUCUUGGGAAAUCUGACGGCUCAACCGUCAGGCGUCCAAGGGAUACUGGCAAUCCUGGAACCGGGAGAGGUGAGGGGUACUUCGGGGGUAGGAGUGAAAUCCUGUAAUCCUCGAGGGACCACCUGUGGCGAAGGCGCCUCACCAGAACGGCUUCGACAGUGAGGGACGAAAGCUGGGGGAGCAAACCGGAUUAGAUACCCGGGUAGUCCCAGCCGUAAACGAUGCGCGUUAGGUGUAUCGGUGACCACGAGUCACCGAGGUGCCGAAGGGAAACCGUGAAACGUGCCGCCUGGGAAGUACGGUCGCAAGGCUGAAACUUAAAGGAAUUGGCGGGGGAGCAC
This 789-nucleotide ribosomal RNA is filed under the name Methanoculleus sp. enrichment culture clone HA_28. RNAcentral's name for it is "bacterial SSU rRNA". It matches the Rfam family "Archaeal small subunit ribosomal RNA", at positions 85 to 879 of the family's 1478-position model. Lineage: Archaea; Methanobacteriati; Methanobacteriota; Methanomicrobia; Methanomicrobiales; Methanomicrobiaceae. The record is from RNAcentral.